Molecule: ribosomal RNA, 253 nt
Filed under: uncultured bacterium
Lineage: Bacteria
Description: partial 16S ribosomal RNA
Rfam family: Bacterial small subunit ribosomal RNA
Source: RNAcentral
UACGUAGGGUGCAAGCGUUAAUCGGAAUUACUGGGCGUAAAGCGUGCGCAGGCGGCUAUGCAAGACAGAUGUGAAAUCCCCGGGCUCAACCUGGGAACUGCAUUUGUGACUGCAUGGCUAGAGUACGGUAGAGGGGGAUGGAAUUCCGCGUGUAGCAGUGAAAUGCGUAGAUAUGCGGAGGAACACCGACGGCGAAGGCAAUCCCCUGGACCUGUACUGACGCUCAUGCACGAAAGCGUGGGGAGCAAACAGG